RNAcentral lists this ribosomal RNA (298 nucleotides) under uncultured Pseudomonadota bacterium. RNAcentral's name for it is "uncultured proteobacterium partial 16S ribosomal RNA". It matches the Rfam family "Bacterial small subunit ribosomal RNA", at positions 28 to 351 of the family's 1533-position model. Lineage: Bacteria; Pseudomonadati; Pseudomonadota. The record is from RNAcentral.
AACGAACGCUGGCGGCAGGCCUAACACAUGCAAGUCGAACGGAUCCUUCGGGAUCAGUGGCGGACGGGUGAGGAACGCGUGGGAACCUGCCUUGGAGUGGGGAACAACCGCUGGAAACGGCGGCUAAUACCGCAUACGCCCCGAUGGGGGAAAGGCUUCGGCCGCUCUGAGAGGGGCCCGCGUCCGAUUAGCUAGUUGGUGGGGUAACGGCCUACCAAGGCUGCGAUCGGUAGCUGGUCUGAGAGGAUGAUCAGCCACACUGGGACUGAGACACGGCCCAGACUCCUACGGGAGGCAG